This 20-nucleotide unclassified non-coding RNA is filed under the name Chlamydomonas reinhardtii. RNAcentral's name for it is "small RNA Cre_3230". Lineage: Eukaryota; Viridiplantae; Chlorophyta; Chlorophyceae; Chlamydomonadales; Chlamydomonadaceae. The record is from RNAcentral.
UGGACGGGAGACUGCGUUGU